CUUUUUGAUUUUAAUUUAAAGUCUAAUCUGCCCCCUGAUUAAUAAAUUGAAGGGCUGCAGUAAUUUGACUGUACAAAGGUAGCAUAAUCAUUAGUCUUUUAAUUGAAGACUUGUAUGAAAGAUUUAAUGAAAUAUAAACUGUCUCUUAUUUAUAAAUAGAAUUUAAUUUUUUAGUUAAAAAGCUAAAAUAAACUUAAAAGACGAGAAGACCCUAUAGAGUUUUAUAAUUUAUAAUUUAAAAUAUUUAUAUAAAAUUUUAUUAUUAAAAAUUAAAAAUUAUUUUAUUGGGGUGAUAAAAAAAUUAAAUUAACUUUUUAAAAAUUAUACAUAGAUAAGUGAUUAUUUGAUCCAGAUUAAAGAUUAUAAGAAAAAAUUACCUUAGGGAUAACAGCGUAAUAUUUUUUUUUAGUACAAAUAAAAAAAAAAGUUUGCGACCUCGAUGUUGGAUUAAGAUAAAAUUUAAAUGCAAAAGUUUAAAAUUUUGAUCUGUUCGAUCAUUAAAAUCUU
This 507-nucleotide ribosomal RNA is filed under the name Azanus sp. SSG-2012. Its description in RNAcentral is "partial 16S ribosomal RNA". The record is from RNAcentral. Lineage: Eukaryota; Metazoa; Arthropoda; Insecta; Lepidoptera; Lycaenidae.